GAGGGUAUAGCUCAGUGGUAGAGCACAUGCUUAGCAUGCAGGAGGUCCUGGGUUCAAUUCUCAGUACUGCCA
RNAcentral lists this transfer RNA (72 nucleotides) under Camelus dromedarius (Arabian camel). It matches the Rfam family "tRNA". From Rfam's summary of the family: Transfer RNA (tRNA) molecules are approximately 80 nucleotides in length. Their secondary structure includes four short double-helical elements and three loops (D, anti-codon, and T loops). Lineage: Eukaryota; Metazoa; Chordata; Mammalia; Artiodactyla; Camelidae. The record is from Rfam by way of RNAcentral. RNAcentral also lists the same sequence under 1 other name.